UACUGUACCCCACAAUACUCACAAACACCUUGUAGCUAGUACUCUUGCGGUCCUCUAUCGGGUGGGAACUGUCGGUCUCCAUGGCAUUUCCUUGGAGACACUGACGUCAAUGGCCUGGAAUAUUCCCAGAUCCAGUUCCAGUAGCUCAGUUCCUUUGAAGUUUGAAGGAGAAGCAAAGUGUCUUGCUGGAAGAGAACUAUCGCAACCUUUCCAGCGGAUCAGCGUGAACAUUUUCCAGUCAUGGAAGGACAGAGAUAGAGCUAGAAAUGGAUCAUCGGAAACAGUGCAGGCUGCAUGAGUCUAUUGUACAGACAAGUCAUGCUGCUCUGGGACCCAGGGAGGAUUACCAAUGACUGCAUGUUCUGUUUGCAGGUAUUACAAGCCCCGCCCCCUACAUCUCUCCUUAGGGGGCGGGGCUCGGAUCUCAUCGCCCACUACUAUCAUUGUAUGUUUAUUACAAGUCUCCUAUGAGGUGGUGUAUGUAUGGAGGGAGACAUGAAGAUGAGUAUGGCUGGCUACAUGUACAGUGUCUUCCAUGCAUUCUAUGGUGUGUAGGUCGAUGUCUGCUGCACACACAAAAAAGUAGCUACAAGUAUAGCCAUGCAUCCUAACUGCAUCUAUACACAACAGAUGAGCACCUAGCUAUAUAUUAUGUUGUGUGGCACGUCUUUCAUGCUCUCUGUACGUAGGUUCAUUAAUUGCUGUGAGCCACUGUAACAGCAUACACACAGAUGAGUAGCUAGCUAUGUUGUGUGGCAAGUCUCUCAUGCUCUCUGUAGGUUGAUUGUGAGGAGCCACUGUAACAGCAUACACACAGAUAAGUAGCUAGCUUAUUGUGGCAAGUCUCUCAUACUCUCUCUGUAGGUUGAUUGUGUGUGGAGGAGCCACUGUAACAGCAUACACACAGAUGAGUAGCUAGCUAUGUUGUGUGGCAAGUCUUUCAUGCUUUCCUGUGUAGGUUGAUGUGUGUGGAGGAGCCACUGGAGCUGACACAGAUAAGUAGCUAUAGUUGUGUGUGUAUAGCAUGUCUUAUGAUCCCUAUGUAGAGAUGCCAGACCGGAAGUAGUGUGUGGGUGUAUUUUCGUACGGUAAAAAACGGGACCAGAAAGUGAACAAGAAGGGCUUUCCACAAGCCCUGGAAGAGUCUAGCAAACAACAGCUGUUCCCAGGGGUAAAAAAUAGCGUAGAAUUUGAUUUUUAUAACAGUUUUUUUAUGAUUUUAGCAUUUGAUGCUUGUUUUGUGUGUGAUUUUUUCUCAAAGGUGAUCAUCAUUUUGGCAACCAAA
Long non-coding RNA from Halichondria panicea, 1285 nucleotides. RefSeq lists it as uncharacterized. The record is from RefSeq and is a predicted model, not a curated record. The transcript is spliced from 3 exons. NCBI's taxonomy places the organism in Eukaryota, Metazoa, Porifera, Demospongiae, Suberitida, Halichondriidae.